RNAcentral lists this ribosomal RNA (139 nucleotides) under uncultured eukaryote. Its description in RNAcentral is "partial 18S ribosomal RNA". It matches the Rfam family "Eukaryotic small subunit ribosomal RNA", at positions 1299 to 1458 of the family's 1831-position model. The record is from RNAcentral.
UGGUGGAGUGAUCUGUCUGGUUUAUUCCGAUAACGAACGAGACCUUAACCUGCUAAAUAGUUACAUGAAUCUUGUAUUCAUGGCCAACUUCUUAGAGGGACUAUGCGUAUCGAGCGCAUGGAAGUUUGAGGCAAUAACA